AAAUGAAUAGACGGGGGCCCGCACAAGCAGCGGAGCGUGUGGUUUAAUUCGAUGCAACGCGAAGAACCUCACCAAGGCUUGACAUACAAGAAGUAGUGAUCCGAAAGGGGAACGACCUGUUAAGUCAGGAGCUUGAACAGGUGCUGCAUGGUUGUCGUCAGCUCGUGCCGUGAGGUGUUGGGUUAAGUCCCGCAACGAGCGCAACCCUCGUUGCCAGUUGUUUUCUCUGGCGAGACUGCCCCGCAAGACGGGGAGGAAGGUGGGGAUGACGUCAAAUCAGCACGGCCCUUAUGCCUUGGGCUACACACACGCUACAAUGGACGGUACAAUAGGUCGCAAUGGGGCGACUCGGAGCUAAUCCCAAGAACCGUCCUCAGUUCAGAUUGUAGGCUGAAACUCGCCUGCAUGAAGUCGGAGUUGCUAGUAACCGCGUAUCAGCAUGGCGCGGUGAAUACGUUCUCGGGCCUUGUACACACCGCCCGU
Molecule: ribosomal RNA, 483 nt
Filed under: uncultured bacterium
Lineage: Bacteria
Description: bacterial SSU rRNA
Rfam family: Bacterial small subunit ribosomal RNA
Source: RNAcentral